Molecule: non-coding RNA, 162 nt
Filed under: uncultured Enorma sp.
Lineage: Bacteria; Bacillati; Actinomycetota; Coriobacteriia; Coriobacteriales; Coriobacteriaceae
Description: FMN riboswitch (RFN element)
Rfam family: FMN riboswitch aptamer (RFN element)
About the family: The RFN element is a highly conserved domain that is found frequently in the 5'-untranslated regions of prokaryotic mRNAs that encode for flavin mononucleotide (FMN) biosynthesis and transport proteins.
Source: RNAcentral
GUUUCAGGAUUGGGUGAAAUUCCCUACCGGCGGUAACUGGCGAACGCCCGGGACGGCACGGCAACACGCGCCUGCGCCCCACGCCAGAAGCCCGCGAACCGCGCCCCGCGCGGUCGAUCCGGUGCGACUCCGGAGCCGACGGUACAGUCCGGAUGGAAGAAA